Molecule: RNA transcript, 1441 nt
Organism: Numida meleagris (helmeted guineafowl)
Lineage: Eukaryota; Metazoa; Chordata; Aves; Galliformes; Numididae
Gene name: atherin-like
Exons: 8
Source: RefSeq, a predicted model, not a curated record
CCCGCCGGCAGGGGGCGCUCGUGCGGCGGAAGCGGAGCGGAGGGGCGAUGUCGCGGGCGGAGCGGCCGGCGCUGCGGCGCGGCUCCCCGAGCUGUCCCGACCUGCUGCGGGACGGGGGCGGCUCGCCGCUCACCCCGUUCUUCCGUAGUUUCUUCGAGGAUGAGUGCCGUCUCAUCGCCGCCCGCCUGCUCACGAGCUCCGCCGCCACUCCCGGCCCUUCUCCCGGCCCGGCGGAGAGCAGCGCGCUGUGGCCGCCCGCCGCCGGCCUCGUCACCUCCACGCCCCUCGAGUCCUCGCCGCCCCCCGCCGCGGGCAGCCCGUCCGGAGCCGCUCUCCUCGGCCGCCCCCGCGGGGAACCGCGGCGCCUUCCUCUGCCCCGGGCCGGGGGGUGCUCCCGCUUGGCCCGCCCGCAGCCCCGCCGGGCCGGGCAGCUUCCCCCCGGCCGGCCCCCAGCCCGCUCCCCGGGCCGUGCCGGUGGAAGGCCGUCCCUGGCCCGGCCGCGGGGCUUCGUGGGGCCGGAGCUGUCCAGGGCCGACAAAGGGUCCGGUGCCCCCGCUGCGAAGCUGCUCGUGCCCCAAGGCACCAAGCUGAAGGCGAUGCCGGCUGCCAAGUCCAGGCUGCAGCAUCCCACCAACAGGGCCUCACAGCUGGCACAGCCAUCCACCGGGCCCAAGGCUCCUCCCCAGGACAAAGCGACAGAAACUGCUGGCAAGGCUGGGGGCCGCAGACAGCUCCCUCGGAGGCUUCCCACCGCGAUUCCUGUUGUGGCUUCUCACUCCCGAUUGCAGACAGCGGGAAAAGUGGCUUCCUGCAAGCGCACUUACCUAGAAUCGACUCCUCAGGAACCGGUGUGCAAUAGGACCCGAGAGCUGAUGGAAAAUGCUUGUCUGGAGAAGCUCUGUGUCCUGACUGAGGAGAGGCUGGUAGCUGUGGCAGUUACAUUUCUAGUGAAAACUCCUUUUACAGAUAAAGCUGACCAGACGUGGGUGUGUGUGGGGUCCCCUUAUCUCAGCAAACUGUGCCCUGGACCUGCUCCAGGCUGUGGGGAUGCAGCCUGUGCUGUGCAGCCUGCAGGUUGCCAGCUGUCCCAGGAGUUGGAGCACGUAAAGAAAGAGCUGGAGCGAGUGAAGGGCGAGCUAGGACCAGCUGAGCACAGUGACUUGCUUCCUGCUCCCAGCUGAUAAGACUGCUCAGUGUGAAGCUCAUCGUCGGACGAUCUCCUCCUUGCAGGCUCAGCUCAGAGCAGCAGGAAUCUGUCCAGAAGAUGCUGCAGGGGAUGAGAACAGCGUCUAGGGGAGAGACUGACAGCUUCCCCCAGCACACGGGACAGACGGCAGCGACUUGUCCAGGCACCUGAGCUGCUGGGCAGUGGUAUUUAGAGCGCUUGCACAAAUGGAUUUUUUAACUCCUUGUAUUUAAAAUAAACGUGUCUUUUCUUGCA